Non-coding RNA from Musa acuminata subsp. malaccensis (wild Malaysian banana), 3261 nucleotides. The record is from RefSeq and is a predicted model, not a curated record. NCBI's taxonomy places the organism in Eukaryota, Viridiplantae, Streptophyta, Magnoliopsida, Zingiberales, Musaceae.
ACACGGUAACGCACUUCUAGGGUUUAAGACGCAGGUACUUCCGGCCUAAUCGCGCUCCUCUAUACGCAACUACGCCACCUUCGCUAGGUUUUGGUAAAGAGAAGGAACCUACGAAGAAGAAGAAGAAGACGAUGACAUUGAUGAAUAGGUCGCCCUACGUCUCUCUCUUGUCCAAAGCCCUUGCCUUCGUCCCUUGCUGUCGUCCGGCCGAUGCUGCCCUUUUUCUCGCAACCCAUUCUUACUCCGCCACCUCCGGUGCUCCACAGAGCAGCCUUAUGGCUGAAUACCUGGUCAGCUCCUGUGGCUUCGAUCCAGAUCAGGCGGCCAAAGCCUCGAAGCUCCUUGGCGGCGUCGAAUCCCGCCACCAGCCUGACUCCGUCCUUGGCUUAUUUAAAAGCUACGGUUUUGACAACACCCAGGUGAAAAAGGUCAUAUCUGCAAACCCCCGGUGGCUUCUCCUCGACGUGGAGAAGACCCUGGCUCCAAAGUUCCGAGCUUUGCAGGAUCUGGGCUUCUCCUGCUCCGACAUCACCCACCUCGUCAGAUCGAAUAACGACGUCACCAGCGACAAAUCCGAGAACAUCUUGUCCAAGAUCCAAUUAUGGCAAGACCUCCUCGAGUCCAACGACUUUUUGGUAAACUUGUGCAAGAAAAACAGGAGGUUUCUCGGGUAUAGCAUCGAGAAGACGAUCCAGCCUAACAUUGAAAUUCUAAGGGAUUGCGGGAUCACGGAUCAGAAGCUCUCAAUGAUCAUACGGCACCGCCCCCUCCUUAUAACCCGGAAUGCUGAAACCCUGAAGGCGUUAAUCAGUCGUGUCGAGGGUUUGGGAGUACCUCGCACCUCAGGGAUCUUCCCCCUUACCCUGUGUGUGCUCCAGAGAAUCACCGAGAAGAACUUCAAGGCUCACUUGGAGUUCUUCAAGGGCUUCGGGUGGUCCGAGGAUGAUUUCCUUGCUGCAUUCAGAAAGGUUCCUACGCUUGUGGGAUUAUCUUUAAAGAGUUUGCAGAGGAAGAUGGAGUUCUUGGUAAAUGAAGCCGGAUGUGCUCCAUCUCAUCUUGCUCUUCGGCCAGAUAUUUUGUUGUGCAGUUUGGAGAAAAGGUUGAUGCCAAGGCAUCAGAUUGUGACAGGCCUGAAGUCUAGGGGAGUUUGCAUCAGUAACCUUAGUAUGUCUACAUACGCGAAAUAUCCAGAGAAGAAAUUUGUGGAGAAGUUCGUCAACCGCUACAAGGAGUAUCCAGAACUCAUUGAGUUGUAUAAUGGAGUCCCCAAAAACAGAACUGCAUUUGAUCGUGGAAAUGCAUAAUGCAUAGCACAAACUUUUGUACCAGCAAGUUAUGUUUCCAGGUUCCAAUUUUCCACUAUCCGCAUAACAUGAUCUACAGUUUGCGACCAAAUAAUUCCUGCCAUUUACUUCGUUUUCUGUGAAUGUAAGAUGAGUUUGGAUGCUUACACGUAGUAAGAAAAUGAAGAAUGUUGAGAAGAUUUGUGAUGAUAUUGCCGAUAGAGUUAAUUGCUUGUUGAUAAUCACUUGUGUAGACGCCACAUGGAAUUGUUAUUCUUGUCCCAUUCGUUUUAAGUCUACUGGAAGAUAUCAGACUUAUGUAGGUUAUUGGACACGUGAAGUUUUGAUUGAUUUAACUAUGGAUAUUUGCUAAGUUAGGUUUCGAGUUUUGGUUAUUUUUUCAAAUGAUAAGAAGUAGGAUUCUUUUGGAUGGUAUGGUAGGAUGCUUUGGUGAUUUUGAGCUGGAUGAUGAGGCUUUUGAUUUAGGGCAAGGGUUGGUCACCUUUUAUAUAAAUUUACUAAAGUCCCUCAUAUCCUAAACCAAACCGAAAACCCAAAAAAGGUAGAUGAGGUUGCGUUUCAAUUUUUUGUAUAUUUUGUUUAUCAAACUUUGUUCUCUUUCUUAAGUGAUUAGUUUGAACCACUUCUUUCCUCUUGCUGAUCGGUCAAUUCAGUUGAAAUUUCUCUCUUUAUAAGUGCAAAACCUUAAUGAAUACCAGGUUGCCACCAUGAUAGUUUGAAGCUGACUGUCUUCUUGAGAAUGAAGUUGUAACUCUUAGAUUUAUGAAGGAAACCACACUUUCCGUAUUGACAAUGUUUUGUUCUCAAUUUAAGCACUGGAAUGUACAAGUUGUCCUUUACCAAUUUAAGCAUUUUAGUACGGGGGUGGUCUAAACUUCAUGCACUUCAGCUCAGACAGGCCAACUCCAUGUGGUCCUGCCUUUGAGACCAAGUUCCACGUGGCUGCCUAAGGGCCUGCCCAUUAAGACUGCUAGGGACUGGUUUGCAAUGUAAUGAAGAAAUGAUUGUAAAUUUCAAGGACUGAAUUGUAAAUCGAUAAUAACUUUUUUGAACUCUGUAUCCAAUUUGGAUGAGCAAUAUAGUGUUAGGUGCCUCAUAAAACCUAGAUUCUCUGUAUGCUGAUGUGAUGAAAUUUUAAUAUGCUGUUAUUAGUUCAUAUUUCUUUUGGCAAUAAAUUUUAUAUUGAUGCGUCUAUUUUAGCCUAUAAUUGACGCAUAUUAAUAUUUGUUAGAAGUGCCAUGAUGCAUAAGUUGGAUGCUUGAGUAUGUGAAAGGUUGUUGUUGCAUGGUUGUGCAGCAUGUUGAUAUAUACAUAUAUGGAUGAUUGAACAACAUUGUCAUUAUUCGUAGGCAAUUUUGAAAGGGAUUAGUAGUCGUCAAACAAGCUUAUAAGAUAUUCCUUGCAUCUAUAGAAAUGCGUAUUUCGACUGUUGCCGGGCACCACUUGAUCCUAGUAAUGGACUAAUAGCAGGGAAUGUGAUAUGAAUUUAGUCUAUAAGGAGGUUGCUUCAUCCUGAGCAGUCGGACGAGUUCCGAUGCAGCAAAGUGCACUAAUGGAUGUGCUUUUCUCAUGAUGAAUUUGUAGGUACUUGGUUAAAUUAAACUGAAGCACUGCUUACUCCUGUUGAGUUAUCGGGAUCAAGAGAAGUUUUAGAUGACUUGCACCCUAUCGCAUGUUGAUCAUCGUAGAGAUGUUUUCCUAACAAAGGCUUGAGUCGUUAUCAGCGAAGAAUUAUACAUGUACUGUACUGCCUCAGAACUAGCUGCUGGAUAGGGUCAGGUUCUUUCAGUAGGAAAAGACUGAUGCUGUUUGCAAGGCUUGAUACUUUUUGUGGGGGAUUUUGUCUCUAAAAGGACUGAGAUCCUUUCAACUUGUAGAACUAUAUAUGUUCUAGGAUUUUAUGCCCUCUAAAAUUGCUUGCUAAACAAGAUCAAUUUAUUUUUAAUCGUUAUUAUCA